This 2923-nucleotide ribosomal RNA is filed under the name Klebsiella pneumoniae. RNAcentral's name for it is "23S ribosomal RNA". It matches the Rfam family "Bacterial large subunit ribosomal RNA". The record is from RNAcentral. Lineage: Bacteria; Pseudomonadati; Pseudomonadota; Gammaproteobacteria; Enterobacterales; Enterobacteriaceae.
GGGUUGUGAGGUUAAGCGACUAAGCGUACACGGUGGAUGCCCUGGCAGUCAGAGGCGAUGAAGGACGUGCUAAUCUGCGAAAAGCGUCGGUAAGGUGAUAUGAACCGUUACAGCCGGCGAUGUCCGAAUGGGGAAACCCAGUGCAAUUCGUUGCACUAUCGUUAACUGAAUACAUAGGUUAACGAGGCGAACCGGGGGAACUGAAACAUCUAAGUACCCCGAGGAAAAGAAAUCAACCGAGAUUCCCCCAGUAGCGGCGAGCGAACGGGGAGCAGCCCAGAGUCUGAAUCAGCUUGUGUGUUAGUGGAACGGUCUGGAAAGUCCGACGGUACAGGGUGAUAGUCCCGUACACCAAAAUGCACAGGCUGUGAACUCGAAGAGUAGGGCGGGACACGUGGUAUCCUGUCUGAAUAUGGGGGGACCAUCCUCCAAGGCUAAAUACUCCUGACUGACCGAUAGUGAACCAGUACCGUGAGGGAAAGGCGAAAAGAACCCCGGCGAGGGGAGUGAAAAAGAACCUGAAACCGUGUACGUACAAGCAGUGGGAGCACCUUCGGGUGUGACUGCGUACCUUUUGUAUAAUGGGUCAGCGACUUAUAUUCUGUAGCAAGGUUAACCGUAUAGGGGAGCCGCAGGGAAACCGAGUCUUAACUGGGCGUUAAGUUGCAGGGUAUAGACCCGAAACCCGGUGAUCUAGCCAUGGGCAGGUUGAAGGUUGGGUAACACUAACUGGAGGACCGAACCGACUAAUGUUGAAAAAUUAGCGGAUGACUUGUGGCUGGGGGUGAAAGGCCAAUCAAACCGGGAGAUAGCUGGUUCUCCCCGAAAGCUAUUUAGGUAGCGCCUCGUGAACUCAUCUUCGGGGGUAGAGCACUGUUUCGGCUAGGGGGUCAUCCCGACUUACCAACCCGAUGCAAACUACGAAUACCGAAGAAUGUUAUCACGGGAGACACACGGCGGGUGCUAACGUCCGUCGUGAAGAGGGAAACAACCCAGACCGCCAGCUAAGGUCCCAAAGUCAUGGUUAAGUGGGAAACGAUGUGGGAAGGCACAGACAGCCAGGAUGUUGGCUUAGAAGCAGCCAUCAUUUAAAGAAAGCGUAAUAGCUCACUGGUCGAGUCGGCCUGCGCGGAAGAUGUAACGGGGCUAAACCAUGCACCGAAGCUGCGGCAGCGACACUAUGUGUUGUUGGGUAGGGGAGCGUUCUGUAAGCCUGCGAAGGUGACCUGUGAGGGUUGCUGGAGGUAUCAGAAGUGCGAAUGCUGACAUAAGUAACGAUAAAGCGGGUGAAAAGCCCGCUCGCCGGAAGACCAAGGGUUCCUGUCCAACGUUAAUCGGGGCAGGGUGAGUCGACCCCUAAGGCGAGGCCGAAAGGCGUAGUCGAUGGGAAACAGGUUAAUAUUCCUGUACUUGGUGUUACUGCGAAGGGGGGACGGAGAAGGCUAUGUUAGCCGGGCGACGGUUGUCCCGGUUUAAGCAUGUAGGCUGGUUGUCCAGGCAAAUCCGGAUAAUCAAGGCUGAGGUGUGAUGACGAGGCACUACGGUGCUGAAGUAACAAAUGCCCUGCUUCCAGGAAAAGCCUCUAAGCAUCAGGUAACAUUAAAUCGUACCCCAAACCGACACAGGUGGUCAGGUAGAGAAUACCAAGGCGCUUGAGAGAACUCGGGUGAAGGAACUAGGCAAAAUGGUGCCGUAACUUCGGGAGAAGGCACGCUGGUGUGUAGGUGAAGUCCCUGCGGAUGGAGCUGAGACCAGUCGAAGAUACCAGCUGGCUGCAACUGUUUAUUAAAAACACAGCACUGUGCAAACACGAAAGUGGACGUAUACGGUGUGACGCCUGCCCGGUGCCGGAAGGUUAAUUGAUGGGGUUAUCCGUAAGGAGAAGCUCUUGAUCGAAGCCCCGGUAAACGGCGGCCGUAACUAUAACGGUCCUAAGGUAGCGAAAUUCCUUGUCGGGUAAGUUCCGACCUGCACGAAUGGCGUAAUGAUGGCCAGGCUGUCUCCACCCGAGACUCAGUGAAAUUGAACUCGCUGUGAAGAUGCAGUGUACCCGCGGCAAGACGGAAAGACCCCGUGAACCUUUACUAUAGCUUGACACUGAACAUUGAGCCUUGAUGUGUAGGAUAGGUGGGAGGCUUUGAAGCGUGGACGCCAGUCUGCGUGGAGCCAACCUUGAAAUACCACCCUUUAAUGUUUGAUGUUCUAACGUUGGCCCCUUAUCGGGGUUGCGGACAGUGUCUGGUGGGUAGUUUGACUGGGGCGGUCUCCUCCCAAAGCGUAACGGAGGAGCACGAAGGUUAGCUAAUCCUGGUCGGACAUCAGGAGGUUAGUGCAAUGGCAUAAGCUAGCUUGACUGCGAGCGUGACGGCGCGAGCAGGUGCGAAAGCAGGUCAUAGUGAUCCGGUGGUUCUGAAUGGAAGGGCCAUCGCUCAACGGAUAAAAGGUACUCCGGGGAUAACAGGCUGAUACCGCCCAAGAGUUCAUAUCGACGGCGGUGUUUGGCACCUCGAUGUCGGCUCAUCACAUCCUGGGGCUGAAGUAGGUCCCAAGGGUAUGGCUGUUCGCCAUUUAAAGUGGUACGCGAGCUGGGUUUAGAACGUCGUGAGACAGUUCGGUCCCUAUCUGCCGUGGGCGCUGGAGAAUUGAGGGGGGCUGCUCCUAGUACGAGAGGACCGGAGUGGACGCAUCACUGGUGUUCGGGUUGUCAUGCCAAUGGCACUGCCCGGUAGCUAAAUGCGGAAGAGAUAAGUGCUGAAAGCAUCUAAGCACGAAACUUGCCCCGAGAUGAGUUCUCCCUGAGACUUUAAGUCUCCUGAAGGAACGUUGAAGACGACGACGUUGAUAGGCCGGGUGUGUAAGCGCAGCGAUGCGUUGAGCUAACCGGUACUAAUGAACCGUGAGGCUUAACCUUACAACGCCGAAG